AUCGCCUAGGACCCCGUGAGGAAUUUCCUCCGUAAUCACAAACCCAGCACGCAGGGGAUUUAUGCGGCAGAAUCCCAAUUUCGGCCACGGCACUCGGAGGAGGAUACCGGUUCUCUAUCGCGGAAAUGAAAGCCCAGCACCCCGGCGUUUCGGGGACGGACAGCGGGACACCAUGUCCUGGGGUGACUUUAUGAUACCGGUAUCCCCAAUCGUCUGGUUUAUGUUAAAUAUUAAGUUCUGCACCUUUAAGACCGGCUCUGAAGGCGAGAGCGGGGGGAAGAAGAAGCACGCCCUUUGCGUUAAGGAACAAACAUCAGUCCCACACAUCCCGCUCCUGGACCGUGGUGUCUGCAGCACGGACAGACAACGGGACAGAGCUUCUCUCUGGCUUUUAGUUGGUUUUAGCUAGCUGAGGCAGAGGAGUUCCCUGGACCUUUGUUUUUUUUUUCCUUAUUUUGUUUCCUUGGAUCUGUGCAAACCUGCUCCGGACCGAACACCCGGCCAAACCCCGGGAGCUCACGCCUUUGGCCCACCGGGGCCCGGGCCUCGGCACUUUUCAGCGCCGGAAGGACCGAUAAGAACCCGAGCGAGGCGAGCUACACCACAUGAAAAGGACUUUUCUUCCUAGACUUGCCAUCCCAUUGAACAGUGAGAAGUUUUAUUAUUUCAUAUUAUUCAAUUUCUGUUAAAUAAACAGCUUUUUCCACUUCUUUCCAAGGAAUUUUUUUUUUCCUUUCCUGGACCAGUUGGUAGGGAGGGGUCAUUUCCCUGGGGAAAUCCCCAUUUGGAGUUUUCCUCCCUAAUUUGCCCUAAACUAGGACACAGCAUUUCAAGGGUUUAAAGCUGCAUUUCAGGAUACCUCUACCCACGCCCCGGCACCAAAUAUUUCCAACAGGAGCGAGUCCAGCAGGAGGAUUGCAGUUUCCUGAAGUUCUCGGUCACGUCAAGUGCGAUACUUCAGAUUCUCUCAGCAGAUUCAUCGUGACACAAAAGGGAACCACUGCGGCAGCUUUCCUUAGCAGCAGAUCGGUCUCUCCGAUGGAUUCGCUUCGGAGAGAUAAGUCGAGGGCUGUGGUCACAGAGGGGAUCGAAGCAGGGCAGUGGGUUAGGAUUCACACCGGUUAGGGUUUUGAGUCAGCUACAGGGAGGGGGAGGUUUGAGAACUGGCCUCUGGGGCUACGGUGAGGGAAAGGCUCACUUUGGCUAGCAAUGCUGAGGCGGGCAGGGCAGAGCAGUCCCAAGGUGUGUCGUCACUUGUCUGUCGUGCUUUCCGUGUCUUCCGUUCAUCUCGUGUAACAUGUCUCUUGCCUUAGUCCUCCCAGGAGCUUAUGAGAAACCCCAGGUCCUUCCGGUCAUCUCCCAUCUUUGCGUUCCUCGGCCCGGGGCCGACGCCGGCGAAGUUUCGAUUCGGGAGGUCAGACAGGCGUCAGAAUCGCAUCUCUCUUCAGCAGCAUCCGAUCGGAUGUCUUUUUAGGUCUUGUUCUCAGCUGUGUUGACAGCUGUAUGCAGUAAUCUUUCUUUACAGUGGAUAAGGACUUGUGCCGAUUCAAAGGCAGGCAGAGGCUUCCAGCCACAGGAUUCUCAGGCAUCCGUCUCUGCGGUUCUCGGAAUAAGUCGUUCCGUUAGCAUCUUUUUCCUCCGGGGUCAUCCGAGCCCGGCGGGCUCGCCUUCGGUCCCAUCUCGGUCAUCUCGUUCAGCAUUUUCUUGGUCCUUGUGAGGACUUUCUCGUCUCAGAGAGUUUUCUCUCCCUGUCGUGUCCCCUCGUCUCACGUGUCACGGGUGUCUGGGGGUAUUCGGUCCGGAACUGCUCUGCCCUGCCGCCCGGCCCCGUUGCAGGUGUUCAAGGACAAGUCCUGGGCACUUGUAAUUGGAGACUCGUAAUAUGGGCUGUAGUUGGAGUCUAGGUAGUAUUCUUAUGUUGGCAGAAGGUGUCUGGAGCUGUGAAGUUACCCUGCAGCACUUUGACUUUUUUCCUAACUUUCUUUCAGAUGCGGAUGGAUCGACCUCCCGGCAGAGCGCCCUGUCCCAGAUGAGGGGAUCCCCCUGAGAAGGAAGUAAAGCCGGAUAGCAGCAGUGAAGGCGAAGCAUUGUGAAGGCUGCCUCCUGAUGUUGUGCUGAGGCCCCCUCACUGACAUGCCAAGAGACCCGGUUUGCUUCUCCGGUGAGCCCCAGCAAAUGUUACCGGAGUCCGUGACGAAGCCUCGACCUCGUCCACGUGAAGGCGUGCCCCGCGACGACGGCGUCCGCCUCGGAGCGUGGCCGAAGCGUGCGGCCCGAGGACCCGGGCGUUCCUAAGAGACGGUGAGUAGGAGCAUAGUUGGGUUUUGGUGAAUAUGCCACUAAGAUUCUGCACUUAUAUUUGGUUUUUUUUAUCAUAGGUGAUGAUACUUGUCUGAGACAACAGCUCGGCGAGAGAAGAACUUCCCAGAUGGCGAGGUGGCUUCGUUUGGCCCCCGACCGGCCUCUCGCCGUGACUCACGUCUUCAGCCACCCGAGAGAUAAGCGGAGCCCGCAGAGGGGAUCAAAGCAGGGCGGCGGGUCGGGACUCAGAUCGGUUUGGGUUUUUGAGUGAGCUUUGGGGAUGGGGAGGCUCUAGAAAUGACCCCAUAGGCCCCAUUGAGGGAAAGCCUCACUUUGGCUCGCAGCGCUGAGGCGGGCAGGGCAGAGCAGUCCCAGGGUGUGUCGUCACAUGUCUCUCGUGCCUUCCGUGUCUUCCGCGCAUCUCGUGUAACAUGUCUCUUGCCUUAGUCCUCCCAGGGGCUUUUGAGAAACCCCGGGGUCCUUCCGGUCAUCUCCCAUCUUUGCGUUCCUCGGCCCGGGGCCGACGCCGGCGAAGUUUCGAUUCGGGAGCUCGGACAGGCGUCGGAAUUGCAUCUCUCUUCAGAAGCAUCCGAUCGGAUGUCUUCUUAGGUCUUGUUCUCAGCUGUGUUGACAGCUGUGUGCAGUCAUCUUUCUUUACAGUGGAUAAGGACUUGUGCCGAUUUAAAGGCAGGCAGAGGCUUCCAGCCACAGGAUUCUCAGGCAUCCGUGUCCGCGGUUCUCGGAAUAAGUCGUUCCGUUAGCAUCUUUUUCCCCCGGGGUCAUCCGAGCCCGGCGGGCUCGCCUUCGGUCCCCCCUCGGUCAUCUCGUUCAGCAUUCUCUUGGUCCUCGUGAGGACUUUCUCGUCUCAGAGAGUUUUCUCUCCCUGUCGUGUCCCCUCGUCUCACGUGUCACGGGUGUCUGGGGGCAUUGGGUCCGGAACUGCUCUGCCCUGCCGCCCGGCCCCGUUGCAGGUAUUCAAGGACAAGUCCCGGGCACUUGUAAGUGGAGACUCGUAAUAUGGGCUGUAGUUGGAGUCUAGGUAGUAUUCUUAUGUUGGCAGAAGGUGUCUGGAGCUGUGAAGUUACCCUGCAGCACUUUGACUUUUUUCCUAACUUUCUUUCAGAUGCGGAUGGAUCGACCUCCCGGCAGAGCGCCUUGUCCCAGAUGAGGGGAUCCCCCCGAGAAGGAAGUAAAGCCGGAUAGCAGCAGUGAAGGCGAAGCAUUGUGAAGGUGGUCUACUUGCAAGAUAUCCCAGCCCAGGAUGCCAGAGGACAGGUGGGUGCAAGCUCUAAGUGUGUUUUGGUGUUUAAGUCCCUGGUUUGCUGAUAAUGUUUAGUUCUCUAAGAUAGAAUGAAAGAACCACAUCACGAAUCCCACCUUGUGGAUCCUGACACGAAUCGGUGUCACGGACAGGAUUCUGAGAGACAGAAGGGGUUGCAGAUUUGUCGUGCACUCGGUAUCGGGGGAAAGACGUUUCGCCUCAGCCGCCCCUAGCCUGCCACGCUGGUGAGCAGUGUCUAGA
Long non-coding RNA from Poecile atricapillus (Black-capped chickadee), 3823 nucleotides. RefSeq lists it as uncharacterized. The transcript is spliced from 8 exons. The record is from RefSeq and is a predicted model, not a curated record. Lineage: Eukaryota; Metazoa; Chordata; Aves; Passeriformes; Paridae.